This is a small nucleolar RNA of Erpetoichthys calabaricus (reedfish), 135 nucleotides long. Lineage: Eukaryota; Metazoa; Chordata; Cladistia; Polypteriformes; Polypteridae. The record is from Ensembl.
AAGCUGUGGUUAUUUCAUCUUUCUGUGCUCAUAGAGAGUUUGACUUGAUGGAUCACAUGCUAGAAUAAUUUUGGAGUCAACAGGGCCACCUUCCUUUCAGUACAGGUUGAGUGGUAGUAUAACACUCCAACAGCA